UCCGCCAUAGCUCAGUUGGUAGUAGCGCAUGACUGUUAAUCAUGAUGUCGUAGGUUCGAGCCCUACUGGCGGAG
RNAcentral lists this transfer RNA (74 nucleotides) under Streptococcus salivarius. Its description in RNAcentral is "tRNA-Asn". It matches the Rfam family "tRNA". Rfam says of the family: Transfer RNA (tRNA) molecules are approximately 80 nucleotides in length. Their secondary structure includes four short double-helical elements and three loops (D, anti-codon, and T loops). Lineage: Bacteria; Bacillati; Bacillota; Bacilli; Lactobacillales; Streptococcaceae. The record is from RNAcentral. RNAcentral also lists the same sequence under 3 other names.